GCGGAUGUAGCCAAGUGGAUCAAGGCAAU
This 29-nucleotide transfer RNA is filed under the name Symphonia globulifera (boarwood). Its description in RNAcentral is "partial tRNA-His". RNAcentral also lists the same sequence under 3 other names. Lineage: Eukaryota; Viridiplantae; Streptophyta; Magnoliopsida; Malpighiales; Clusiaceae. The record is from RNAcentral.